This 1047-nucleotide long non-coding RNA is filed under the name Salmo salar (Atlantic salmon). RNAcentral's name for it is "lncRNA (ENSSSAG00000082150.1, ENSSSAG00000085360.1)". Lineage: Eukaryota; Metazoa; Chordata; Actinopteri; Salmoniformes; Salmonidae. The record is from RNAcentral.
UGCUGUUUGAAUUUUUUUGUGACAUUGGGACUUGAAAGGGAGUCUUAAUUCUUAAAGAUUGUUGGCUGUGGGUUUUGUUUUUCUGUCUUGCUGUGCCAGUGUAUAUAUACUCACACUGAUGGGGAUGUUUUGGCAGAUCUAAGUCUUGAAUGAAGUCAACUAUGAUUAUGGACUACUAUUGCAGCAGCACUUUGUGUGGAUUACAGUAUCAUAGUGUUGUAAUUACAAUGACUAACUGUAAUGUGAAGUGAUGACAUAUACAUAAAUAAUACAUUGAUGCAUAAAUUAAAUACAUUUCAUGGUCAUUAAUCAAUUAAUCAAUGAAUGUAUUACCUGGAAGCCUAUUACCAUACACAUUAAUUAAGAGUAUUGUACAAUUCUGCUGAAUUUGGUUUUGUUUUCAAUAUUUUCUGAAUAUAAUCAAGGUUGGUUUGAAUGUCAACAUGAAUCCUGAAGGCAUUCUAUUGUCUCAAUAGCACGAGUCGUUUAAUCUGGAUGACAUCUGUAACAAAGUCAGGUUCAGAGUCUAAUGCAGCAAUAUCAUAUUAGCACUACUUCUCCUAAAAUGCCAAAUGGUUUGAGAUUGUCACGUCUUUCAUUUUUCACUCAAUAACAUGUUAUUUCUCAGACCAGGGAGGUUUCAUCUCUAUCACUUUGUGACCAAAUGAAAUACAUUAACCUCAGACAAGCCUGCUGGGCCAUCGCUGGAGGACGGAGAGCUAAGACAAUCAAAUGAAAAACAUGCCUGUAGUGGCACCAUGCAUGGAACCAGUCUCAUUAUCAUUCUGUCUCGUGUGUACAGGACAGGUGUGUGUGUUCUCCAACAUACAUUUUUAUCUCUCACCAUUCCCUAAUUGAACAUCCUGCUGAAAAUGAAUUCCUCUCUCCGUCUUCUCACCUAUUGUCUGCAGGGCUGUGCCUCGUAGGAUCACCUGAGGAGAAUGGGUCUGGAGAGAUGGGAGUGCUACCCUACUGUAUUGACUGCUAUUCUUCAGCCACAGGCUCUUUCAGAUUUUCUGCCCAUUGUCAGUUACAGUAUUGAUUAAA